Molecule: ribosomal RNA, 554 nt
Filed under: uncultured bacterium
Lineage: Bacteria
Description: partial 16S ribosomal RNA
Rfam family: Bacterial small subunit ribosomal RNA
Source: RNAcentral
UAGGGAAUCUUCCACAAUGGACGCAAGUCUGAUGGAGCAACGCCGCGUGAGUGAAGAAGGUCUUCGGAUCGUAAAGCUCUGUUGUUGGUGAAGAAGGAUAGAGGCAGUAACUGGUCUUUAUUUGACGGUAAUCAACCAGAAAGUCACGGCUAACUACGUGCCAGCAGCCGCGGUAAUACGUAGGUGGCAAGCGUUGUCCGGAUUUAUUGGGCGUAAAGCGAGCGCAGGCGGAAUGAUAAGUCUGAUGUGAAAGCCCACGGCCCAACCGUGGAACUGCAUCGGAAACUGUCAUUCUUGAGUGCAGAAGAGGAGAGUGGAACUCCAUGUGUAGCGGUGGAAUGCGUAGAUAUAUGGAAGAACACCAGUGGCGAAGGCGGCUCUCUGGUCUGCAACUGACGCUGAGGCUCGAAAGCAUGGGUAGCGAACAGGAUUAGAUACCCUGGUAGUCCAUGCCGUAAACGAUGAGCGCUAGGUGUUGGGGACUUUCCGGUUCUCAGUGCCGCAGCAAACGCAUUAAGCGCUCCGCCUGGGGAGUACGACCGCAAGGUUGAAAC